AAGCAUGUUUAUAACCUGCAACAUAAAUAUAAGUCAACUAUAAGCUGCAUUUAAUAACAGGCGAAAUUAUACAAUAAGAUGACCCUGUUUCUUAGAAGACAGAAAUCUGAAGUUAUUAUGUGACGCUCGCGACACAAUAUCUCUUUGUAAUACAAAAUGGCGUUGUAUUGAUGGCGUAAUGAACCGCUACAGUGAUUUAGUGACUUUUGUAGCGGCAAAGGCUUUUCACGCAGACAAAGUCACGAGCAACACCUGGUACUUUAUAUGCGAGAAUAGCAUUUCUACAAUGCUUUAAAUACGACCAAAUGAUAUAACCAAAACAACUCAAACACCUACGUGCUCCGUAAUUGAGCCGGGUAAUCCACAAGACCAACGCGUUUAACCUAAGUGUGUGAGGAAGACAAAUUGAGCCGCUGUCCUCGUAA
Molecule: long non-coding RNA, 425 nt
Filed under: Manduca sexta (tobacco hornworm)
Lineage: Eukaryota; Metazoa; Arthropoda; Insecta; Lepidoptera; Sphingidae
Description: uncharacterized LOC115443549
Source: RNAcentral